RNAcentral lists this unclassified non-coding RNA (205 nucleotides) under plant metagenome. Its description in RNAcentral is "partial contains small subunit ribosomal RNA, internal transcribed spacer 1, and 5.8S ribosomal RNA". The record is from RNAcentral.
GUAGGUGAACCUGCGGAAGGAUCAUUACAACGUAUCCACGUAUCAACUCGCGAACUGUCCCCUUUAGAGUAAACAAAUUGUGGAUGAAGUUAAUGGCUGACUGAAUCUCGCUGAUGGAGUUCACGGAUUUUCAUCUGAGAACUGAGAGUCUUUGGCCGCUGGCUGAAACGCUUGCGUUUUUGCUGGGACUUCGUUUACUCUACUG